GACGAACGCUGGCGGCGUGCUUAACACAUGCAAGUCGAACGAAGAGCGACGGAAGCUUGCUUCUAUCAAUCUUAGUGGCGAACGGGUGAGAAACGCGUAAUCAACCUGCCCUUCAGAGGGGGACAACAGUUGGAAACGACUGCUAAUACCGCAUACGAUCUAACCUCGGCAUCGAGGAUAGAUGAAAGGUGGCCUCUACAUGUAAGCUAUCACUGAAGGAGGGGAUUGCGUCUGAUUAGCUAGUUGGAGGGGUAACGGCCCACCAAGGCGAUGAUCAGUAGCCGGUCUGAGAGGAUGAACGGCCACAUUGGGACUGAGACACGGCCCAGACUCCUACGGGAGGCAGCAGUGGGGAAUCUUCCGCAAUGGACGAAAGUCUGACGGAGCAACGCCGCGUGAGUGAUGACGGCCUUCGGGUUGUAAAGCUCUGUUAAUCGGGACGAAAGGCCUUCUUGCGAAUAGUGAGAAGGAUUGACGGUACCGGAAUAGAAAGCCACGGCUAACUACGUG
RNAcentral lists this ribosomal RNA (510 nucleotides) under uncultured bacterium. Its description in RNAcentral is "partial 16S ribosomal RNA". It matches the Rfam family "Bacterial small subunit ribosomal RNA", at positions 28 to 507 of the family's 1533-position model. The record is from RNAcentral.